GAGUUUGAUCAUGGCUCAGAUUGAACGCUGGCGGCAUGCCUUACACAUGCAAGUCGGACGGCAGCAUGAUCUAGCUUGCUAGAUUGAUGGCGAGUGGCGAACGGGUGAGUAAUACAUCGGAACGUGCCCUGUAGUGGGGGAUAACUAGUCGAAAGAUUAGCUAAUACCGCAUACGACCUGAGGGUGAAAGUGGGGGACCGCAAGGCCUCAUGCUAUAGGAGCGGCCGAUGUCUGAUUAGCUAGUUGGUGGGGUAAAGGCCCACCAAGGCGACGAUCAGUAGCUGGUCUGAGAGGACGAUCAGCCACACUGGGACUGAGACACGGCCCAGACUCCUACGGGAGGCAGCGAGUGGGGAAUUUUGGACAAUGGGCGAAAGCCUGAUCCAGCAAUGCCGCGUGUGUGAAGAAGGCCUGGUGUAAG
Molecule: ribosomal RNA, 421 nt
Filed under: uncultured microorganism
Description: bacterial SSU rRNA
Rfam family: Bacterial small subunit ribosomal RNA
Source: RNAcentral